CCUGCUCAUUAUUCCCCCUUUUUCUCUGUACCUGCUUAAUGUAGAGGCAAGCGCUUGGUGUCAGCAGGUAGGGGAAGGACUCCUCUACCUGCUGACCAAAGGGGAAGGGGAUCGGUGCAGGGGUGUAAGCAGGAGAGGGGAAAAUGUAAGCAGAUGUCGAGUUGAAAAUUGCGGUAAAAAUUGAGUUAUGAGAUUUUUACCUGCUGAUAUUUUCCCCUUUUUCUCCGUACCUGCUUAAUGUAGAGGCAUGCGCUUGGUGUCAGUAGGUAGGGGAAGGACUCCUCUACCUGCUGUACAAAGGGGAAGGGGAUCAGUGCAGGGGUGUAAGCAGGAGAGGGAAAAAUGUAAGCAGAUGUCAAGUUGAAAAUGGUGGUAAAAAUUGGGUUAUGAGAUUUUUACCUGCUGAUAUUUCCCCCUUUUUCUCCGUACCUGCUUAAUGUAGAGUCAUGCGCUUGGUAUCAGCAGGUAGGGGAAGGACUCCUCUACCUGCUGUACAAAGGGGAAGGGGAUCCGUGCAGGGGUGUAAGCAGGGGAGGGGAAAAUGUAAGCAGAUGUCGAGUUGAAAAUGGUGGUAAAAAUUGAGUUAUGAGAUUUUUACCUGCUGAUAUUUUCCCCUUUUUCUCCGUACCUGCUUAAUGUAGAGGCAUGCGCUUGGUGUCAGCAGGUAGGGGAAGGACUCCUCUACCUGCUGACCAAAGGGGAAGGGGAUCGGUGCAGGGGUGUAAGCAGGAGAGGGAAAAAUGUAAGCAGAUGUCAAGUUGAAAAUGGUGGCAAAAAUUGAGUUAUGAGAUUUUUACCUGCUUAUAUAUAUCCCUUUUUCUCUCCAUCUGCUUAGAGGAGAGGUAAGUGCUUGGUGUCAGCAGGUAGGGGAAGGACUCCUCUACCUGCUGACCAAAGGGGAAGGGGAUCCGUGCAGGGGUGUAAGCAGGAGAGGGAAAAAUGUAAGCAGAUGUCGAGUUGAAAAUGGUGGCAAAAAUUGAGUUAUGAGAUUUUUACC
Eriocheir sinensis (Chinese mitten crab) is the source of this 997-nucleotide long non-coding RNA. RefSeq lists it as uncharacterized. The transcript has 3 exons. Lineage: Eukaryota; Metazoa; Arthropoda; Malacostraca; Decapoda; Varunidae. The record is from RefSeq and is a predicted model, not a curated record.